UUCUUGGAGCUCUGCUUGCUUCUUCAAGGACUUGGGGGAUAGAUACCAAAUCACAGCAUGGUGGAGGAUAAUCAGAGAAGAUUCCCUACCAGGAUCAACUCAGCCUGGGAAGACAUCCAGGAACUGUGUUGGAAAGAAGGAAAAUGCUAUUCUUGUCCUCCUUAAGAACACGGAUGCCCCAUGUGCCUACAGUCCAGUGAGGAAGGCAUGCUGGUCAGCUGCCAGGUACGAUUCAGUGUGGAUUGUACAGGUAUGGAAGGCACGAAGUGGUUGCCCUUCUCUUUGAGUGGUGUAGAGUGAUGGGAUUAUUUCAAGGAGAAAGUAGAUAAAGGUGAGAAGGGUUUGAAAGCGGAUGAGGAGGUUGCCAGGUGGGCGUAAAUAUUCUUCCAACACAGCAUGCUGUCUCCGCAUCAGCGCCUUUGCACUUGCUAUCUGCUCUGUCUGGGAUCCUUAUUCCCCAGACCUCUAAGUGUCAGUCUCCUCCUCAUUCAGAUCUCAGUUCAAAUCCCACCUCCCAGAGAGGCCUUUCCUGCCGCCUUACCUAACAUGUCUCCUUCCCCAUCCCUUGCUGUCAUAUUUUCUGUUUCCUUUACAAAGCUCACCAUUCUGUGAAAUUACAUUAUUUAUUUGUUCUGUUUCUUGUUCAUUGUCUAUUUCUCAAAUGAGUACAAACAUAAACUCUGUUACAACAAGAACCUUGCCGAGUUUAUUCACUGUUGUAGUCCUGGCACCUAGAACAAUUCCAGACACCUACUGGACAAUUAAUAACUCUUCUAGGCAAAGAUUCAUGAAACUGCAUGGUUCAUUAAAAUAAACAAAGCAGAUUACAAAAUUGCACACAAUGUCAGAAGGCAAAAUGGUAGACAAAGAUGCCAAGUAAAGAAAAAAUAGAGCAGAAAAAUAAAACCACCACCCAGAUAGCUCCAGGGAGGGAUGUGGUGUAGAGACAUGCCUAAGAAAGAAGUUGUAGUUUGUUUGCUGUGGGAUGAGUACUGCAAGUCCCCUACUCUCACCCCUCCCCUUUAAAUGUUUAGUUGUCUUCCUAGCUCACUAAAAUAAAUAAAUAAACUUUAAAAACAUGAAGUCAGCAGUAGGAUUAGCGUUUGCACAUCAUAUGCCUUAACAUCUUGUUAGAGGUGGGUAGUAAAUUUGGCUCUGAGCUUCCUAACAGACAAAACAAGAGGGAAAAAUGAAAUGUGAUAACUUUCAAACCUCCGUGUCUAUGAGAUUAACCUAAAGUGACUGCUCAAAGAAAACUUAGUUUUUCCUGGGCCUGAAACCUGAGAGUUGGUCCUGCCAAGGAGAAAAUGUUAUGAUGUAGUAUCCUCGACAGCAUCCCUUCAGUAUAUUCAGAAGAGAGGUUCAUUAUAGCAUCUUUUCUCAUAGCAGGCUGAUGACCUCAUGCCCAAGUAUAAUUUAGUAAAAGCCUUUCUACAAGCAGACAGACUAUGCUCUCUAAGCUUGCCUCUUUUGAAUGAUCUGACCUGAAUGAGAUGGAGAAUGUCUUACAAAAUUGGAAGGACUACGUGUCCUUCAGAUAGUCUUCUGUUUCUUUCAAAUGAGUUCACACUAAGACUUCGGUGGUAAGGAGAACAAGGUAGCCUCCUCUUCCUGGAAUGUGGGGUGAUAUAUCAUGUUGCCCGUUGGGGCUAAUUUCCUGUUCAGCUGUGCACAGGGUGGAGUGGGCACCUGCCUUUGAAAAUUGAGAUCCUGGAGGAAUCUGAAGAGAGAACCAGUCACCCACUUCUCUACCUGGAAUGGCAGACGUUCUCCUUUGCAAAUAGUUUUUGCUCUGUUCCAGCCCACAUGUAAAUGGAUCAUCAGGCACCAAAGCUGGAAACCUAUAAUCAGCAUUCUUCAAAGAGGGGCUCAAGGAUUCCUGUCUCAGACCACCCAAAGCACUUGCUAUACCUGAAGACGCCUGGCUCUGGACUCACACGGUCUGAACUGCUUGGGGUAGACCAGAGUGUCUGCAUGCUUACCAAAGUUUCCAGAUGAUUCUCCAGCCCACAGAGUGCUGAUGUGAAGGACAAUAUUUGCAAUAUUUUUGUUUUUCAUAAAGGCCCCUAACAGUCAGGGCUUUAAAGUUCAAAAAGCACUCCCCCUGUACCUGAUCUUCACAAAGCCCCUGCAGAGAGUGAAAGCAGCUUCUCCCAUUGGAGAAGAGGACUUAGUGAGAAUUGAAGUGCUUGUGUCUUUCCUAAAGGAAACACCCAGCACAGGGUAGGGCCAGGAUUAGGCCCAACUCUACAUAGCACGAAUGGUGGUUCAGAUCUGGGCUCUGAAGCAGCAUGCCCAGAUCCAACUCCUGGGUCCCUACCCAUGGCUGGUGAAUGUGGACAAGUCCUUUACUGGGCCUCUGCCACCUCCUCUUGGUGUGCACAGGGUUUCUUGAGGAUCAAAAGGAGGAUUGUGUUGAAAGCACUUAGAAUCAUGGUGGCAUAAGGCAAGCACGUGAUGAAUGUUGGUUUCCACUAUUACUGGGUAGAAUACAGCUGCAAUACAAGACAUGCAAAGGCUUUUGAAGAAAUGUAAAUGACCCACUCAGGGUGGGUGUUUAUCCCAGUCUCACCUGGAGAAAAUAUAGUCAACAUGGGAGCCAGUUGGUGUUAUGAUGCAUGACAGACCAAAUUCUGGGGUCAGCAAAUAGAGAGCUGUCCAAUAGAAUUGUCUAAGUGGCAGCAAGGAUCUAACCCUGCACAGUCCAGUGGGGUAGCCACUAGCCACAGGUGGUCAUUGAGCCCCCAAAAUUAGCUGAUGUGACUAAGG
This is a non-coding RNA of Macaca mulatta (Rhesus monkey), 2769 nucleotides long. NCBI's taxonomy places the organism in Eukaryota, Metazoa, Chordata, Mammalia, Primates, Cercopithecidae. The record is from RefSeq and is a predicted model, not a curated record.